RNAcentral lists this ribosomal RNA (433 nucleotides) under uncultured bacterium. RNAcentral's name for it is "partial 16S ribosomal RNA". It matches the Rfam family "Bacterial small subunit ribosomal RNA", at positions 29 to 507 of the family's 1533-position model. The record is from RNAcentral.
AACGAACGCUGGCAGCAUGCCUAACACAUGCAAGUCGAACGAGACCCUCGGGUCUAGUGGCGCACGGGUGCGUAACGCGUGGGAACCUGCCCUUAGGUUCGGAAUAACUCCCCGAAAGGGGUGCUAAUACCGGAUAAUGUCUUCGGACCAAAGAUUUAUCGCCUUUGGAUGGGCCCGCGUUGGAUUAGCUAGUUGGUAGGGUAAAAGCCUACCAAGGCGACGAUCCAUAGCUGGUCUGAGAGGAUGAUCAGCCACACUGGGACUGAGACACGGCCCAGACUCCUACGGGAGGCAGCAGUGGGGAAUAUUGGACAAUGGGCGAAAGCCUGAUCCAGCAAUGCCGCGUGAGUGAUGAAGGCCUUAGGGUUGUAAAGCUCUUUUACCCGGGAUGAUAAUGACAGUACCGGGAGAAUAAGCUCCGGCUAACUCCGUG